ACCUACGGGAGGCAGCAGUGAGGAAUAUUGGUCAAUGGGCGCGAGCCUGAACCAGCCAAGUCGCGUGAGGGAGGACGGCCCUACGGGUUGUAAACCUCUUUUGCCGGGGAGCAACGGGCGUCACGUGUGGCGCCACUGAGAGUACCCGGAGAAAAAGCAUCGGCUAACUCCGUGCCAGCAGCCGCGGUAAUACGGAGGAUGCGAGCGUUAUCCGGAUUUAUUGGGUUUAAAGGGUGCGUAGGCGGAUCGUUAGGUCAGUGGUCAAAUUGAGGGGUUCAACGCCUUCCCGCCAUUGAAACUGGCGU
Molecule: ribosomal RNA, 305 nt
Filed under: uncultured bacterium
Lineage: Bacteria
Description: bacterial SSU rRNA
Rfam family: Bacterial small subunit ribosomal RNA
Source: RNAcentral